RNAcentral lists this ribosomal RNA (433 nucleotides) under uncultured bacterium. Its description in RNAcentral is "partial 16S ribosomal RNA". It matches the Rfam family "Bacterial small subunit ribosomal RNA", at positions 29 to 507 of the family's 1533-position model. The record is from RNAcentral.
AACGAACGCUGGCGGCAUGCCUAACACAUACAAGUCGAACGAGACCUUCGGGUCUAGUGGCGCACGGGUGCGUAACGCGUGGGAAUCUGCCCUUGGGUUCGGAAUAACAGUUGGAAACGACUGCUAAUACCGGAUGAUGACGUAAGUCCAAAGAUUUAUCGCCCAGGGAUGAGCCCGCGUAGGAUUAGCUAGUUGGUGGGGUAAAGGCCUACCAAGGCGACGAUCCUUAGCUGGUCUGAGAGGAUGAUCAGCCACACUGGGACUGAGACACGGCCCAGACUCCUACGGGAGGCAGCAGUGGGGAAUAUUGGACAAUGGGCGAAAGCCUGAUCCAGCAAUGCCGCGUGAGUGAUGAAGGCCUUAGGGUUGUAAAGCUCUUUUACCCGGGAUGAUAAUGACAGUACCGGGAGAAUAAGCCCCGGCUAACUCCGUG